AAAGGACGGCCUACGGCCGAGAGGAGUAGGCCGACGUCGGCCGGAGAGGAUAAGAUCUCGGGCGCCAUCAAUGCCGAGCACGCUUCACUGGAUAAGCUCGGAUGGGACAUCGGUUUGGCCGUCGAGGGCCGCUCGGUGCGCGAAGGGGACCGGCGGUUGAAGUUCCGUUGACCGGCCACCCCCUCGCCUAUAAAUAGCCCCCGAUGUCGACGACGAAGAGCACGAG
Molecule: long non-coding RNA, 226 nt
Filed under: Eucalyptus grandis
Lineage: Eukaryota; Viridiplantae; Streptophyta; Magnoliopsida; Myrtales; Myrtaceae
Description: long non-coding RNA (EGRA_LNC002818)
Source: RNAcentral